UUAAAUUGAAGAGUUUGAUCAUGGCUCAGAUUGAACGCUGGCGGUAGGCCUAACACAUGCAAGUCGAACGGUAACAGGAA
This 80-nucleotide ribosomal RNA is filed under the name Escherichia coli. Its description in RNAcentral is "partial 16S ribosomal RNA". It matches the Rfam family "Bacterial small subunit ribosomal RNA", at positions 1 to 78 of the family's 1533-position model. The record is from RNAcentral. Lineage: Bacteria; Pseudomonadati; Pseudomonadota; Gammaproteobacteria; Enterobacterales; Enterobacteriaceae.